UACGGAGGGUGCAAGCGUUAUCCGGAUUCACUGGGUUUAAAGGGUGUGUAGGCGGGCUGUUAAGUCAGUGGUGAAAUCUCCGGGCUCAACCCGGAAACUGCCAUUGAUACUAUCAGUCUUGAAUAUUGUUGAGGUGGGCGGAAUAUGUCAUGUAGCGGUGAAAUGCAUAGAGAUGACAUAGAACACCGAUUGCGAAGGCAGCUCACUAAGCAUGUAUUGACGCUGAGGCACGAAAGCGUGGGGAUCAAACAGG
RNAcentral lists this ribosomal RNA (253 nucleotides) under uncultured bacterium. RNAcentral's name for it is "partial 16S ribosomal RNA". It matches the Rfam family "Bacterial small subunit ribosomal RNA", at positions 524 to 776 of the family's 1533-position model. The record is from RNAcentral.